RNAcentral lists this long non-coding RNA (740 nucleotides) under Salmo salar (Atlantic salmon). RNAcentral's name for it is "lncRNA (ENSSSAG00000101059.1, ENSSSAG00000107850.1)". The record is from RNAcentral. Lineage: Eukaryota; Metazoa; Chordata; Actinopteri; Salmoniformes; Salmonidae.
GUGUAGAGGUAUGGGACUGCAGGUGGAGGAAUAGAGGUAUGGGACUGCAGGUGGAGGUAUAGAGGAAUGGGACUGCUGGUGGAGGUAUAGAGGUACGGGACAGCAGGUGGAGGUAUAGAGGUACGGGACUGCAGGUGGAGGUAUAGAGGUACGGGACUGCAGGUGGAGGUAUAGAGGUACGGGACUGCAGGUGGAGGUAUAGAGGUACGGGACUGCAGGUGGAGGUAUAGAGGUAUGGGACUGCAGGUGGAGGUAUAGAGGUAUGGGACUGCAGGUGGAGGCAUAGAGGUAUGGGACUGCAGGUGGAGGUAUAGAGGUAUGGGACUGUAGUUGGAGGUAUAGAGGUACGGGACUGCAGGUGGAGGUAUAGAGGUAUGGGACUGUAGGUGGAGGUAUAGAGGUAUGGGACUGUAGGUGGAGGUAUAGAGGUAUGGGACUGUAGGUGGAGGUAUGGGACUGUAGGUGGAGGUAUAGAGGUAUGGGACUGUAGGUGGAGGUAUAGAGGUAUGGGACUGUAGGUGGAGGUAUGGGACUGUAGGUGGAGGUAUAGAGGUAUGGGACUGUAGGUGGAGGUAUAGAGGUAUGGGACUGUAGGUGGAGGUAUAGAGGUAUGGGACUGUAGGUGGAGGUAUAGAGGUAUGGGACUGCAGGUGGAGGUAUAGAGGUAUGGGACUGUAGGUGGAGGUAUAGAGGUAUGGGACUGUAGGUGGAGGUAUAGAGGUAUGGGACUGUAGGUUGAG